GUUUAACCCGGCACGGUCAGGCAUCCCCGGCUUUGUCUCCGCUCACGCUACGGCCAAUACUCGCACGUUCCUGGAGAAGGGAACUCCAGCUGGAUGCGAGAGGGAAGCUGCAGACGCAGGCUGGCUGCGGGAGCCCGCAGAAGGAAGGGGUGACUGCUCCUGCCCUGUGCUCUUUAACUCUCCUCAGCAAAUUGCAUUAGGAUGUGACAAAUUGGCUCGCGAAGCAGGUGCCGCCACGAGGCUUUCCAGAACUUACUUUGGGAACUCCUGUUGCAGCUAAAUGUGGGAGUCUCGAGCAUGCCUGGGAAAGGUUGCCCAAAAGCUAGGGCAGAUGUAGGUGCAGACUGUCUCAUGCCGUGGGCAGCUGAGAUGAGGAGCUGAACCGGGAGAGAAAGCAAAGCCGAUAUUUAGAAAUUGCGUGAGUGGUGAGGAGCUGAAGGUGGGAAGCUGGGCUGGCUUUGGGUGCCAACGUGACGCUCUGCUGGGGGAGUGGGGACACCUUUAUUCACCCAUGGGGGAGCAGGAACACUUUUGUUUACCCAGGGAUGAUCCUGGGAGUGCA
Molecule: long non-coding RNA, 562 nt
Filed under: Cyanistes caeruleus (blue tit)
Lineage: Eukaryota; Metazoa; Chordata; Aves; Passeriformes; Paridae
Description: lncRNA (ENSCCEG00000004082.1)
Source: RNAcentral